CGGUCACAUAACGUUGAAAUGUCAGUUCUCGUAAGAUCCCCAAAGUUAAGCAACGUCGAGCCUGGUUAGUACCUUGAUGGGUGACCGCUUGGAAAUAACGGGUGCUAUAA
Non-coding RNA from Acanthosepion pharaonis, 110 nucleotides. Lineage: Eukaryota; Metazoa; Mollusca; Cephalopoda; Sepiida; Sepiidae. The record is from the annotation of a GenBank genome assembly.